UUUUUUUUUUGUAUUUUUUUUGUUCUGAAACUAAACCAGAAAAUCAAAAAAAAUGGAGAUGAACCACUGAAAAGAAAAAGAAUGUUUUUUAGAACCCUAGCUUUCCUUUCCGAUUUUUUUUCUCUGAAAUUUUUGUUCCAAAAAAAUGACCUCUCUCAGAAAUCUCUUAACCUCCCUAUAUAUACCCGAAAUUUUCAUACCUUUUUUCUUUCUUCAAGUCAUGCCCAAAAUUCCUCUUUCCUCAGAAAAAUCCGCAAGAAUCCGAUUCUCUUUCUUGUGAACCAAAUCGGACAAAUGGAGGUCUAGGAUCUUGAAUCUCUCAGAUCCUACGACCACCAUUUAUCCGAGAUUGUUCUCAAUACCAAAAGCGCGUGAAUCCUUAGGGAGAGAAGAAUCUUUCUGUCAGAGGUCGUUACGGGACGGGUGACAUGGAGGAGGGAGGGUGAAGGAAUCACGUGCGUGAGUUGGAGGGAGAGUGAACUCGCUUGAGUUCAAGCGAGUUCGGUCGACGGAGGGAGAGAAAAGGGGGUGGGCGCCGCUUGGUUAGGAAUUAGGUUUAGGGUUGUGGGGGAGGGGAAACGCAUAAUAGGCUUUUUAUAUGGGGGGGGGUGAGAGUGGACUGUGUCCGUUGGAUGGCGAUGGAUUGAAUGGUCGAGAUCGAUCCAUCCAAAACGACGUCGUUCGCACUUAGUUGUGAGACAGGACUGGGUGAGGGGUUGGGCUUGGCGGAAUUCAGGUGAGUGUUUGGGCCAAAUUGUUUUGGCCCAGAUUUAAACCCAAACAGAAUUUCCUUCUCUUUUUCUUUUUCCUUGAUUUUAAAUAAAAUUAAUUAAUCAAAAACCUAAAUUAAGUAUUAAAUCAAUCUAAUUUGUAGGAAUAAACCUAGUUAUCUAUUUUACCAUUAAUUAAUUUAGACUAAUGAAGGAAGAAUUACUUAAUUUACGAUUAAAUGCUAAAAAUACAAAAAUGACCCAUAUUUUGUGAUUUUCUAUUUAAUAAUGCAAUUAACUUAUGUAAUUAAAUCCUAAAUGCAACUAGACCUAAAAUGUUAUGCACGAAAUACUUUAGACAUUUUGGUGUUUUUCUUAUGAUUUUAGCAUGUUAAAUAUGCAACUAAAUGCAAGCAGCUUUUAACCAAAAUUCCUACAAAUUCUAUAAAACUAAAAACAAUUAAGAAAAAUCUAUAUGUGAAUUUCUAUAGGAAUAUUUUAGUCGGGCAAAAAUCACGUGCUCACAGCUGCCCCUCUUUGCUUGGAAACACGGAGAGUUUUCGGGCAAAGAUACAUUGAGCAAAUACGAGCGAUUUUUGACCGUUUGUAUACUCCAUGGAAGCGUUUUGAAAUCGUUUGACCGAACCUUGCUUCCGAGGUUGCCUACAUAUCCUCGGCUAUGGAGGAAUCAGGUCAGUGUAGUUCUGGAAGUUUUGGUAGCUGGAACUACCGAGAAGCUGUGAUUUCACUGUUGUUGCUGCUGCUGCUCUUUCUUGCUGAGCUCCCUAUUACACCAAAGUCAAAAUGAAAAAGAAACUAACUAAGCCUAUCAGCUACGAGUUACAAGAUUCCUAUCUAUGAGUCUUCUGAAGCUUGAUCUUGAGUCUUGAAUGGUUCUUCAUGCGGACUUUUGACUUGAACCUUGAUGCUUGCUAACUGCAGGUGCUAGUUCUUUCUCCUUCUUUUUUUCUUUUUUUUUUUCUUCUUUUUUUUUUCUUUUAUUCUGGAUUGAGACUUCUUCCUUUGCUCAUCUCAGACUGUCAGCUUGCAUUCUUGAGGCGAGCUUCUGCUACUUCUAACUUGAAUUAAAUCCUUAAACGACUUCCCUCAUUCUCCAGGUGGGCGCCUGAUGACUUAAAACUCAAAAUAAAUUCCCUCAUUCUCCAGGUGGGCGCCUGCUGACUUAAAAACUUGAAAUAAAUUCCCUCGUUUUCUAGGUGGGCGCCUGCUGACUUAAAACUUGAAAUUAAUUCCCUCGUUAUCUAGGUGGGCGCCUGUGUUGACAUAAAACUUGAAAUGAAUUCCCUCGUUUUCCAGGUGGGCGCCUGAUGACUUAAAACUGAAAUGAAUUCCCUCGUUUUCCAGGUGGGUGCUUGAUGUUGACUUAAACUUGAAAUGAAUUCCCUCAUUUUCUAGGUGGGAGCCUGAUUACUUAAAACUGAAAUGAAUUUCCUCAUUUUCCAGGUGGGUGCCUGAUGACUUAAAACUUUAAAUAAAUUCCCUCGUUCUCCAGGUGGGCGCCUGAUGUUUUAAAACUUUAAAUAAAUUCCCUCGUUCUCCAGGUGGGCGCCUGAUGUUGACUUAAAACUUGAAAUGAUUCCCUCAUUUUCUAGGUGGGCGCCUGAUUACUUAAAACUGAAAUGAAUUUCCUCAUUUUCCAGGUGGGUGCCUGAUGACUUAAAACUUUAAAUAAAUUCCCUCGUUCUCCAGGUGGGCGCCUGAUGUUUUAAAACUUUAAAUAAAUUCCCUCGUUCUCCAGGUGGGCGCCUGAUGUUGGCUUAAAACUUGAAAUGAAUUCCCUCGUUUUCCAGGUGGGCGCCUGAUUACUUAAAACUGAAAUGAAUUUCCUCAUUUUCCAGGUGGGUGCCUGAUGACUUAAAACUUUAAAUAAAUUCCCUCGUUCUCCAGGUGGGCGCCUAAUGUUUUAAAACUUUAAAUAAAUUCCCUCGUUCUCCAGGUGGGCGCCUGAUGUUGACUUAAAACUUAAAAUGAUUCCCUCAUUUUUCAGGUGGGCGCCUGAUUACUUAAAACUGAAAUGAAUUUUCUCGUUUUCCA
This 2765-nucleotide long non-coding RNA is filed under the name Nicotiana tabacum (common tobacco). RNAcentral describes it as "long non-coding RNA (NTAB_LNC004691)". The record is from RNAcentral. Lineage: Eukaryota; Viridiplantae; Streptophyta; Magnoliopsida; Solanales; Solanaceae.